UAUUAUCUAGAGUCCCGACCGGUACCCGUCCUACCUGAAACACCCUCAAAUUUUAUUCGAGGUGAACUCUCUCAAAUUCCCUAUCGGUGAAUACAUGUGAGUGGUGAAAAAAAGCAAAAUGGGGGAUUUCCCUUAUAAAGAAAUGUAUGGAAAUUUUGUGACCUGUCAAAAAUUACAAUCAAUUUUGCAAAACAAAACAAUGGGUUUCGGAUUUUAAGAACCAAAAAUCUUCAUAAUGAAGAGAGGAUAUACAAGUUCACUUAAUUAAAUAAAAAAUGCUGCCAAUAACAUACUAUAAUGCAGGAAGCAUUUUCCUUGAAGAAAUCUGGGAGACAAAGCAACAAGAUUGUGUUCUCAAUGUCCAUAGCUGCCGCAGGUGUUUACGGUGGAGGUGUCGCCAUCAAAAACCAUCAGCAAAAACACCACCAAGUCAAUGAUACAAGUACAAGAAGAAGUUUUGCCAUGCAAUAGUCGACCGCUAACGCCCUUUUCGAUCAAUUUCGUAAGUACGUAUCGAAACAGUCAUAUCGUUGCCAACUAGCUUAAUCCUCAUCUUCUAGGUGUAAAGAGUACUACCAGAGACGCAAGAAAAGCAAGGACUUGCAUACAUUGCGAUCUUUCGCCUAUCCGUAGCUGGCUCAAAGAAGUGCUUUGCAUUGCAAAGAUGGUGGCACAUUACGUGAAUGUGCUACUGCUUUCACACGCUGCAAUUAAUUCAACUUGUAUUUGUAUUUGGCUUGGCUAUAAAUGACCACCAAGUAAAGAGAUUCCUCAACUUUAUAACAACUCUCGACUUGUAU
Eupeodes corollae is the source of this 800-nucleotide long non-coding RNA. RefSeq lists it as uncharacterized. The transcript is spliced from 4 exons. NCBI's taxonomy places the organism in Eukaryota, Metazoa, Arthropoda, Insecta, Diptera, Syrphidae. The record is from RefSeq and is a predicted model, not a curated record.